CUUUUCCAAUAAUUCAAAACA
This 21-nucleotide non-coding RNA is filed under the name Caenorhabditis elegans. The record is from RNAcentral. Lineage: Eukaryota; Metazoa; Nematoda; Chromadorea; Rhabditida; Rhabditidae.